AAAGGCAUCCACGUCAGAUUUUUAUAAAUGAUUGUGGGACCCACAGAUAUUUUUUUUAAAUUAUUUUUACGAGGUUUAAUGUUUGUUUGUUAUUUCUGAUAGUUUUGUGGGCUUUUAUGGAUACUUUGUAGUGGGCCAUAUAUAAAAUUCGAAUUGUCUCUACAGAAAGCAUAUUAGUCGCCUUAUGUUCCAUCAAAACGACACACCUCACACACGCAUACGUAACUUUUAUACUUCCCAAAUUAAAUCGAUAAUCUGUUCAUCUUCCUCUGUUGCUACAUCUCCCAGUUCUGUCCUAUAUAUAUAUAGUUCAUCGGGCCGUAUAUCUCAUAUCUUCCCAGAGUUUUUUGAACCGUCGCAGAUUUCAUCUCAGCCUCGAAAUGUCAUCCUUUCGUCAUCUGUUUUUCAUCCCUAAACAACUAUUGAUGACUUCCUGACGGCUGCUCCCGUGAUCAAUCUUCAGAAAUUCAUGGUUAGGAAGUUUGACCAUCUCCAAGCUCUUGCAAAGACAAAGACGAACUUAGAAUCCCUGGUAAUAUUAAAGUAUUUUUUAAGAUUGUCCCACCCACAUAACUAUUCCACCACCAUCGAUUUGUAUUUGGUUUCUGAUCCGUUUUGGCAGUAAUGUAUGUUAAUUUUUAAGAAACCAAUGAUUUGAUUUGUCUUUUUCAAAAAAAAAAGAAAAAGAAACCAAUGAUUUGUUCUUCAGUGCUCUGGUUACAAAUUACUAACCCUGGGAGGACUUCAAUGAUUUGUUGGUACAUUCAGUUACUUAGAAUCCGAGGGGACAGAGCUUACUUAUGGUUCUUUUGAUCAAAAGGUGCGUGAUUGGAACUCUGAACCUCGCACUCAUAUAUAUGAUUUAACAAUAAUUAAUCUGAGUUUCUCUGCAACUGAUUACUGAUGCAAUGAGAUUUCAAGUGGUCUAUCUGCAAUAGGUUACAAGUAUAUCAAUUAAGUAUAACAAAUAAGACUCUUUGGUGUUUGUUACUUUGUUUUACUUUUUUUUUUGAGCAACACUUUAUUUUACUUAUCUCUAUGUUUUCUAAUAUUUGUGUACUGUUUUCUCUGUGUUUAUAUAUGAUUUUUGGGGUGAACUUAAGAUUCUCAGGUUAUAGAAACAUCCAAAGGAAACCUGUUAGUGAAUUGGUUGAUCAUAUGGAAACAUCGAAGUCAAAGGAGGAAACAAACGACUUGGUAGCAACCAGGGAGAUCUCAUUACAGGACAAGUCCCAUACAGAUAUGCAAACAGCUGUUCCUUCUGCAGCAAAGGAAUGAAAUCUAUAGAAGUUACUACUCUAGAAGAUGAGUACGACAAAAAAAUUAAUUCAUGGGUCCAAGAAAAACAAAAGCCAGCGAGGAAAGGGGGGAGUCACUGAAGCAGCUGCAGCAAGCAACUCAAGAGGCUGAUGAAGCGAGAUCAUUCUGAACUUGCUUGUGAAGAGCUGCGAAAGUUUCAAGAAGAAGAAGAGGAAGAAGAGGCUGGACCAAGUACCAUGGAGAGCAGUUUGUUUGCAGCUUAGAAAGAAGAUGAUGCUGCUAAAACUUCAAAGAGCCAAACAAUGACCCUAGAUGAGUAAUAUGAGCUUAGCAAGUGUGCUCACGAGACUGAAGAAUAAGCCAGCACAAAGGUUGCAGCAGAAAUUCUGAGAUGUGAGGAAGCCUAAGAAACAGAGAUGAGAAGCUAAGAACGGUUGCGAGAAUGAGAACGUGAAAUAAAGCAACAUGAUUUGUACUAAUUACACAAAGAAGGCUGUUCACUACUACAAAUAGUUUCUUAAAACUGCCUCAACAUAUCACCAUCAGAUCAGAAUAAAAGCCACUGUGUAUUUAUGGAGGAUUAUGUUCGCUUUUAAGGUUUAAUAACUAUAUAUAUUUGUCAGGUUCAAGCCAAUGUUGAAAGAAAAUUAAAGAGCCAUGAGUUGGCUUCAGCCACCAAAGAGUUCAUUUAGUUUGCACUAUGCUUUCUGGUUUGCAAUCUGCAGACAAACAUGCUUCUUAGUUGUUUCCUCGCUUUACUUAUAAAUUGAAAAACUGCUCACUGUAGG
Long non-coding RNA from Raphanus sativus (radish), 2048 nucleotides. RefSeq lists it as uncharacterized. The record is from RefSeq and is a predicted model, not a curated record. Lineage: Eukaryota; Viridiplantae; Streptophyta; Magnoliopsida; Brassicales; Brassicaceae. The transcript has 2 exons.